Molecule: long non-coding RNA, 465 nt
Organism: Tupaia belangeri chinensis (Chinese tree shrew)
Lineage: Eukaryota; Metazoa; Chordata; Mammalia; Scandentia; Tupaiidae
Exons: 6
Source: RefSeq, a predicted model, not a curated record
UAACCAGGGAGCAAACUGAAAGACCAGUGAGAGCGCAGGUCCGGGAUAGCAGAAGUGGAAACAUUGUUCUCCAAGAGGGGAACCCCGCCUGUAACUGCAGAGCAAGCUGCAAGACCAGUAAGGGCAGAGGUCUGGGAGAGCAGGAGUGGAACACAUUACUCUUCUGCGGGAGGUCAGCUGCCUCUACCUCAAAAGGUGAAGGGUCUGGAGUCUAGAGGACAAGAAUAUGCCCAAGUCGUCAUCAGAGGAUCGCAUCAUCCCAAGUCCUGUGUGUGAUGAGGGCUGCUGGACCACUGAGACCAGGCUGAAGAAAACUCCACUUGGAAUUGAUUGGCCAAGACGAGGUUCAGUCCUGAGUCCAUUACAUCCUUUGCCUGCUGCUUGAAGAUUUCAUAAAGGAAGACUUUUGGAUGACCUCGCUUCACAUUGCACCAGAUACACUGAUUUAUGAAAGUGCACCCACGU